GNACGAUGAACCUCACUUGUGGGGGGAUUAGUGGCGAACGGGUGAGUAACACGUGAGUAACCUGCCCUUGACUCUGGGAUAAGCCUGGGAAACCGGGUCUAAUACUGGAUACGACCUUCUGGCGCAUGCCAUGUUGGUGGAAAGCUUUUGUGGUUUUGGAUGGACUCGCGGCCUAUCAGCUUGUUGGUGGGGUAAUGGCCUACCAAGGCGACGACGGGUAGCCGGCCUGAGAGGGUGACCGGCCACACUGGGACUGAGACACGGCCCAGACUCCUACGGGAGGCAGCAGUGGGGAAUAUUGCACAAUGGGCGCAAGCCUGAUGCAGCGACGCCGCGUGAGGGAUGAAGGCCUUCGGGUUGUAAACCUCUUUCAGUAGGGAAGAAGCCGGUCUUUUGGGUUGGUGACGGUACCUGCAGAAGAAGCGCCGGCUAACUACGUGCCAGCAGCCGCGGUAAUACGUAGGGCGCAAGCGUUAUCCGGAAUUAUUGGGCGUAAAGAGCUCGUAGGCGGUUUGUCGCGUCUGCCGUGAAAGUCCGGGGCUUAACUCCGGAUCUGCGGUGGGUACGGGCAGACUAGAGUGCAGUAGGGGAGACUGGAAUUCCUGGUGUAGCGGUGAAAUGCGCAGAUAUCAGGAGGAACACCGAUGGCGAAGGCAGGUCUCUGGGCUGUAACUGACGCUGAGGAGCGAAAGCAUGGGGAGCGAACAGGAUUAGAUACCCUGGUAGUCCAUGCCGUAAACGUUGGGCACUAGGUGUGGGGGACAUUCCACGUUUUCCGCGCCGUAGCUAACGCAUUAAGUGCCCCGCCUGGGGAGUACGGCCGCAAGGCUAAAACUCAAAGGAAUUGACGGGGGCCCGCACAAGCGGCGGAGCAUGCGGAUUAAUUCGAUGCAACGCGAAGAACCUUACCAAGGCUUGACAUGAACCGGAAUGAUGCAGAGAUGUGUCAGCCACUUGUGGCCGGUUUACAGGUGGUGCAUGGUUGUCGUCAGCUCGUGUCGUGAGAUGUUGGGGUUAAGUCCCGCAACGAGCGCAACCCUCGUUCCAUGUUGCCAGCGGGUUAUGCCGGGGACUCAUGGGAGACUGCCGGGGUCAACUCGRAGGAAGGGUGGGGACGACGUCAAAUCAUCAUGCCCCUUAAG
This 1142-nucleotide ribosomal RNA is filed under the name Arthrobacter sp. RNAcentral describes it as "bacterial SSU rRNA". It matches the Rfam family "Bacterial small subunit ribosomal RNA", at positions 64 to 1206 of the family's 1533-position model. Lineage: Bacteria; Bacillati; Actinomycetota; Actinomycetes; Micrococcales; Micrococcaceae. The record is from RNAcentral.